CACAAAGGCAAGGCAAGUGUGUAUUGC
Molecule: non-coding RNA, 27 nt
Filed under: Bombyx mori (domestic silkworm)
Lineage: Eukaryota; Metazoa; Arthropoda; Insecta; Lepidoptera; Bombycidae
Source: RNAcentral